GGUUCGGUAGUUCAGUUGGUGGAAUGCCUGCUUAACACGCAGAAGGUCGUCGGUUUAAGUCCGGCCCGGAUCA
Molecule: transfer RNA, 73 nt
Organism: Sphaerobolus stellatus SS14
Lineage: Eukaryota; Fungi; Basidiomycota; Agaricomycetes; Geastrales; Sphaerobolaceae
Rfam family: tRNA
About the family: Transfer RNA (tRNA) molecules are approximately 80 nucleotides in length. Their secondary structure includes four short double-helical elements and three loops (D, anti-codon, and T loops).
Source: Rfam